Lates calcarifer (barramundi perch) is the source of this 308-nucleotide long non-coding RNA. RefSeq lists it as uncharacterized. The record is from RefSeq and is a predicted model, not a curated record. NCBI's taxonomy places the organism in Eukaryota, Metazoa, Chordata, Actinopteri, Centropomidae. The transcript has 3 exons.
CUGCAGCUCCAGCUCUCUGGGAAGCACAAAGACAGAUAAAGCAGACAUCAACAAUCACCCGCCGGGACUCACCGUGGAGGCUCUCUCUGAUGACAGCUCUGUGGACGGCCAUGUAGACCAGCAGGGGUCCCACAGUGGCGUAGAAGACAGCGCUUGGCAGCAGCUGAUCUGUCAGGUGGACCGGAAACAGAGCUAGGGUGAAGUGGCUGCUCUUUGUGUCUCGGACCAGGCUGGUAGUCAUGGCGCUGUUGGGCCCCCAGCGCCACUGAAGGUAACCCAUGGUGUUCUGGUCCAGGUGGCGUGCUGUC